RNAcentral lists this ribosomal RNA (1419 nucleotides) under Triticum aestivum (bread wheat). RNAcentral's name for it is "partial small subunit ribosomal RNA". The record is from RNAcentral. Lineage: Eukaryota; Viridiplantae; Streptophyta; Magnoliopsida; Poales; Poaceae.
AUGGUGGCAGGAGCUACUAUGGCCGUGCUUCAGAGAGCAUCGACAGCCAGCACCGACUUUUUUGUGGGUUUGCUUCCGGUUCACGUCCUAAUGGUAGUGAUCCUGGUGUCCGGCAUGGCCAUGCUGUGGCGGGUUAGCCGGGCGCGGGACGUGUACCUCGUGGACUACGGCUGCUUCCUGGGCGAGCCACGUUACAGGAUCCCCUCGGCGAUGGCCCUGGAGCACGCACGCCUCAUGACCGACAUCAUCGAGGAGGAGAGCGCCGACUUCAUGGCUCGGCUGCAUGAGCGGUCCGGGAUCGGCGAGGAGACCAGCGUGCCCGACUCGUACCGCUAUAUGCCCCCCGAGCGCGGCGUGGAGGCUUCCCGGGAGGAAGCCGAGCUGGUCAUCUCCUCCGCCGUCGACAAGGUGUUCGCGAGGACCACGGUGAACCCCAAGGACAUCGACACGCUCAUCGUCGCCUGUAGCUUCACCACGCUGACGCCGGUGUUCGCUGACGUGGUCGUGAACAAGUACAGGCUCCGCGCGGACGUGCAGAGCGUGAACCUGUCCGGGAUGGGGUGCAGCGGGGCGCUCAUCUGCGUCGGCCUCGCCCAGAAACUCCUGCAGGCGGCGCCGCCAGGGAAGCACAAGCACGUGCUGAUCAUAGCCACCGAGAUCCUGUCGUCGAUGUUGUACAACGGCACCAAGCGCGAGAUGCUUGUGCCGAAUGUGCUGUUCCGCAUGGGCGCCGCCGCCAUGAUCAUGACCAACUCACCGGAACGCGCGCGGUUCCGGCUCGGUCCGAUCGUGCGCACGCUGACCGCCGGGCGGGACAGCGACUACCGGUGCGCAUUCCAGGAGGAGGACGACAAGGGGAUCACGGGCAUCAACCUCUCAAAGGAACUUCCCGUGGUUGCUGCGAACGCGCUCAAGAGUCACAUCGUGGCCUUCUGUCCCAGGGCCCUGCCUGCGUUGGAGCUUCUCCGGGUCGCCUUCUCCCUCGUCAAGCAAUACGUGUUCCCGCAGCCGAGAGCAACUGGGCGAGCGGAGAAGGGCGCGCGGCCGGCCUUCAACAAGGUGUUCCAGCACUUCUGCAUCCACCCGGGCGGGCGCAGGGUGCUCCACGAGAUGCAGCGUGGCCUCGGCCUCUCUGACCGUGACAUGGAGGCGUCGCACAUGACGCUGCACCGGUUCGGGAACAUGGCCAGCAGCUCGCUGCUGUACGAGCUGGCCUACAUCGAGGCCAAGGGCCGGAUGAGCAAGGGUGACCGGGUGUGUAUGAUCUCCUUCAGCCCCGGCAUAGACUGCAGCAGCGUCGUAUGGGAGUGCAUCAACCCGGCGGCGGCAGAUCCCAACGGACCCUGGGCCGCCUGCAUCCACCGCUACCCUGUGCACGCGCAGGCGCAGCAGCUUCCCCAAAUUGCCAAGAUGACCUAA